Molecule: unclassified non-coding RNA, 240 nt
Filed under: soil metagenome
Description: partial contains 5.8S ribosomal RNA, internal transcribed spacer 2, and large subunit ribosomal RNA
Source: RNAcentral
AACCUAGCACACCUGCGGUGUGUACCUGCGGAGGGAUCAUUGCAGAAACAAAUAUAUACCCAAGGGGGAAGAGUUAGCGCUCUUUUUCCUGGGCAAACAACCAACACACAUGACUAGGAAAAGCAAACAGAGACUGUGGAGGAAUUGGCUUGGUCGGCUUGGCUUGGCUUGGCUUGGGUCCUCGCACAGCACACAAGAAGCUCUUGUCUGAUAAGUAGCUUGCUGAUUUGGAGUUACUAC